Molecule: ribosomal RNA, 254 nt
Filed under: uncultured bacterium
Lineage: Bacteria
Description: partial 16S ribosomal RNA
Rfam family: Bacterial small subunit ribosomal RNA
Source: RNAcentral
UACGUAGGGGGCGAGCGUUGUCCGGAUUUAUUGGGCGUAAAGAGCUCGUAGGCGGUUUGGUAAGUUGGAUGUGAAAUCUCCAGGCUCAACUUGGAGGGGUCAUUCGAUACUGCCAUGACUAGAGUUCGGUAGGGGAGUGUGGAAUUCCUGGUGGAGCGGUGAAAUGCGCAGAUAUCAGGAAGAACACCCGUGGCGAAGGCGGCUCUCUGGGACGGUACUGACGCUGAGACGCGAAAGCGUGGGGAGCAAACAGG